Molecule: long non-coding RNA, 471 nt
Organism: Fundulus heteroclitus (mummichog)
Lineage: Eukaryota; Metazoa; Chordata; Actinopteri; Cyprinodontiformes; Fundulidae
Exons: 3
Source: RefSeq, a predicted model, not a curated record
UCAAAUGAAAACAAUUAUUAAUGUUAUUGAAGUAUUAAUAAUGUUAUUUCAUAAAAAAAAAAUACAUGCAAGGACCCCAGUCACCUAUUAACCUUUUACCCACGUGACGCGCUUGGUAACUUCUUUCUGCAGACGGCAGGCUGCGGGGUUUGGGUCUGGGCUCUGUAUCGGUAUGUGGGCUCUUUUGUUCCAAAUUCCUAAAAAAAAUAUUUGGUCAUGAAAUCGUCUGGACUCUGGAGGCGCAGACUAGCAUAGAGGGGCUAAACACAGCCCACAUGGUGGAGGAGAAAAGAGCCAUGUGAUGCAGUCCUAAUCAGGAGGAGCAGACAGUUUUAUGUUAAAAUGGAUCCAACUGUGCUGUUCUGAACAGGCCGUCUUCCGUCUGGGCUAAUCAAUAAUCAGUAAUCAAUUAUGGAUAAUUGAAGGAGUCCUGCAGAGUGAAAUUCUGAUUGUAAUAAAAUUGAAUAAACA